UGUCAGAGUAUCAGGCAUCAGAGAAACGAACGCCAGUGGAGCCGACGACACGGGAAAGGAAGGACUCGCUGCCUGCCACGAGAGGAGAGGACACGAGGGAGGGACAAGCUGUGCACAGUGCACAGCAGACAAGGUGAAGGAAGGCUGGUGGCGCUGUCCAAAUUUCACAGGACGAGACGGUGUGAAGGAAUUAAUAUAUCGCUCACCACACCAUACACCGCUCAUCCCGUCACUGGUCCCGCCUGAAUUAACGGGAGUCUUGAGAGUAGCAACAACCCCGCUGACUUUGCAGCGACUGCCUGCCUAGUGUCGUCUACUAAAGUCAGGGAAAUAAAUAACAGGAGACAGUUAACGGAGGUUGCUCGGCCUUGAGCAGAAGCGGUAGAAGUGGGGCAGCCUCGGUGGUGACUGCGCUUGAGACACCUGCAGAAUUCAGAUACUUGUGUUACAUACUAAAAAUAGAG
Portunus trituberculatus (swimming crab) is the source of this 464-nucleotide long non-coding RNA. RefSeq lists it as uncharacterized. The record is from RefSeq and is a predicted model, not a curated record. The transcript has 4 exons. Lineage: Eukaryota; Metazoa; Arthropoda; Malacostraca; Decapoda; Portunidae.